RNAcentral lists this ribosomal RNA (420 nucleotides) under uncultured bacterium. RNAcentral's name for it is "bacterial SSU rRNA". It matches the Rfam family "Bacterial small subunit ribosomal RNA", at positions 355 to 774 of the family's 1533-position model. The record is from RNAcentral.
UAAGGAAUAUUGCUCAAUGGGAGAAAUCCUGAAGCAGCAACGCCGCGUGGAGGAUGAAGGGUCUAUGACUUGUAAACUCCUGUAAAGAAGGAAAAAAUCCCCAUUUGAUGGGAGAUGAUGGUACUUCUGGAGUAAGCCCCGGCUAACUACGUGCCAGCAGCCGCGGUAAUACGUAGGGGGCAAGCGUUGUCCGGAUUUACUGGGUGUAAAGGGUGCUCAGGCGGAUUUGUAAGUCAGAGGUGAAAUCUUACAGCUUAACUGUGAAACUGCCUUUGAUACUGCAAGCCUAGAGUAUGGAAGAGAGUGAUGGAAUAUCUGGUGUAGCAGUGAAAUGCGUAGAUAUCAGAUAGAACACCAAUGGCGAAGGCAGUCACUUGGUCCAUUACUGACGCUAAAGCACGAAAGCGUGGGUAGCAAACA